Molecule: long non-coding RNA, 226 nt
Organism: Coregonus clupeaformis (lake whitefish)
Lineage: Eukaryota; Metazoa; Chordata; Actinopteri; Salmoniformes; Salmonidae
Exons: 3
Source: RefSeq, a predicted model, not a curated record
GGUGGUGUUGGUUACCCAGGGGAGAAAGGGGACAGCGGUGUAUUCUCCCCCCUGGGAAGACGAGGACCCACUGGGCAGAAAGGUGAUAAAGGGCAGCCGGGACGCCCAAGUACCUCUGGAAGUGGCUGUCCUGGACGACCCGGUGCACUGGGAUUCCCUGGGGCUCCAGGGCCAAAGGGUGAUGGUGGGUUUGAGGCCCUAGGUCCAGCCGGCCCUGAAGGUUUCC